AAAGAUGGUUUGUAAGUAAAGCAGUGGAGUGUUUGAUUGAGCGUUAAAUCUAUCACAAAUUGGCGACGAGGAUAGCUGUCAAUUCGUGUUUUCGGGGGGAAUCGGUGGUUUACUAACCAAAUUCAGUAACGGUGUGUGCGUGAAAGCGGUGGCACUGCGUCUGGAGGGCAGGAGAGAAAUUUUGCAUAAAACAGCUUACCAGUGAGUUGUGUUAUAGUCUGUGUCUAGUAAACAGAAAGAAACAACUGAACAAGCUCUGUGCCUAGUAAACAGAACAGUCCGCGUCUAGUAAGCAGAGGAAAAUUGCAAAGUCUACGAGUUGGUGGAAAACUUGACAGAAGAGCCCGCAUCUAGAUAGCGGUAGAAAUUUAUUGGUUGCAAAUUGGAAGCUCUGUGUCGAAAGGAAAACUUUUGGCUAGGUGGAGUUUGUUAUACUGCGUCUGAAUAGUGAUUAUUACGGUGCUGCAUUCGUGAAGCAAUGGAUGAAAACAAAUUCUUUUCUAAGCUGCCGGCAUUUACAAUCGCCGGAGUUCCUCUAACGGAUCGCAGGAAUAGAUGAAACACUUGGAAAAGAGGGUCUGUUUAAGAGCAACGAAAGUAAAAGAUGGAACAGAGAAGAAGGAUAUGCUUCUGGCGUGCGGCUCGUUUGAACUUCAAGACAUUUUCUUCAAUAUCCCUGGAGCUGACGUGGCUGCUAAUGAAGAAGAAGGAAUCGAUCCAUAUGUCGUGGCGAUAGGGAAACUGGAUGAUUAUUUCGCACCCCAAAGGCAUAAGGCUCACGAACGCUUUCUGUUUUGGGCUAUGAAGCCAGAGCCGGAGGAAACACUGGAAAAAUUCUUAAUGCGUGCGCAAGCUCAUGGGUCGAAAUGUAAUUUUGGAAAAUCCGCUUCGGAAAGUGCCGGUAUAGCGAUUGUGGACAAGAUGCUCUAGUUUGUGCCCAAUCAGCUGCGGGCAAAGUUGCUUCAGGAGAAAGAUCUGACGCUAGAGGAAGUGAUUAAACAAGUAAACUCAUUUGAGACCUCACGUGUGGCUAGCGAUCAAAUGGCUGGUCAAAGUAGUCCGCUGCAAGCAAACAUACCUGCUGAUAAUAUUCAGUAUGUUGCGACGCCCUGUAGAUUCUGUGCUCGUUUCCACGGAAAACAGCUUUGUCCGGCACGAGAUAAAACAUGUGCGAACUGCCAAAAACGUGGUCAUUAUGCUGCGGCUUGCUACUCAUCGCCGGGACAGGUGU
Molecule: long non-coding RNA, 1231 nt
Organism: Wyeomyia smithii (pitcher-plant mosquito)
Lineage: Eukaryota; Metazoa; Arthropoda; Insecta; Diptera; Culicidae
Exons: 3
Source: RefSeq, a predicted model, not a curated record